This 857-nucleotide ribosomal RNA is filed under the name uncultured soil bacterium. RNAcentral describes it as "bacterial SSU rRNA". It matches the Rfam family "Bacterial small subunit ribosomal RNA", at positions 26 to 880 of the family's 1533-position model. The record is from RNAcentral.
AGAACGAACGCUGGCGGCGUGCUUAACACAUGCAAGUCGAGUGCACAGUUUGCGUAGCAAUACGUAGAUGGGUGCACGGCGCACGGGUGCGUAACACGUGGGCAAUCUGCCCUCCGAUGGGGAAUAACCCCGCGAAAGCGGGGCUAAUUCCGCAUAAUAUUCCCUGGACGAUGGUUUGGGGAUUCAAAGCCGUAAGGCGUCGGAGGAGGAGCCCGCGCCCGAUUAGCUAGUUGGUGAGGUAAUGGCUCACCAAGGCAAUGAUCGGUAGCUGGUCUGAGAGGAUGGCCAGCCACACUGGAACUGAGACACGGUCCAGACUCCUACGGGAGGCAGCAGUGGGGAAUCUUGCGCAAUGGGCGAAAGCCUGACGCAGCGACGCCGCGUGGGGGAUGAAGCUUCUCGGAGUGUAAACCCCUUUCGACUGGGACGAAUGCCUCGCAAGAGGAGUGACGGUACCAGUAGAAGAAGCCCCGGCUAACUACGUGCCAGCAGCCGCGGUAAGACGUAGGGGGCCAGCGUUGUUCGGAAUUACUGGGUGUAAAGGGUUCGUAGGCGGUGCGGCAAGUUGGGAGUGAAAUCUCUGGGCUUAACCCAGAGGCUGCUUCCAAAACUGCCGUGCUCGAGUGUGGGAGAGGCGCGUGGAGUUGCAGGUGUAGCGGUGAAAUGCGUAGAUAUCUGCAGGGACACCCGUGGCGAAAGCGGCGCGCUGGACCACAACUGACGCUGAGGAACGAAAGCUAGGGGAGCAAACAGGAUUAGAUACCCUGGUAGUCCUAGCCCUAAACGAUCAGGACUUGGGGUGCCGCCCGUUCGGGCGUCGUCCCGGAGCUAACGCGUUAAGUCCUGCACCUGGGGAG